Molecule: ribosomal RNA, 114 nt
Filed under: Clariger cosmurus
Lineage: Eukaryota; Metazoa; Chordata; Actinopteri; Gobiiformes; Gobiidae
Description: partial 16S ribosomal RNA
Source: RNAcentral
AACUUCCUAACAGCUAGCCCCACCCCAAAAACAACAAACCCUAUUAAUAACCCCUCACCUACUAUACAGAAUAUAACAAAUCAUUUUUCCUCCCAAGUAUGGGCGACAGAAAAG